This 828-nucleotide ribosomal RNA is filed under the name Triticum aestivum (bread wheat). Its description in RNAcentral is "partial small subunit ribosomal RNA". The record is from RNAcentral. Lineage: Eukaryota; Viridiplantae; Streptophyta; Magnoliopsida; Poales; Poaceae.
AUGGCAGCCGUCUGCACUUCAUGGCGCUCUGCCGCGGCGGCUUCCGGCGUCCCUCGUUCUGGCACACCUUGGCUUGUGUCCCGCGAAUCUGAGCCUCUCACGAAAACGAAAGGCAGUGAGUUCCGGAACGUUCUCGACCCCGAUAAGAUACACAUGGUUAGCUAUCCUCAAGGACGGCGUAACCUCUCUUGGUGUGGAGCCUCCCAUGGUUGGCUCAUUGCCUCUGACGAACUCUCCAAUCUUUUGAUCUGCAAUCCCUUCACGUUGGCCAUGAUCCCUCUCCCGCCUAUUACUGAUCUGGAAUGUGUCGAGGGAGUCUACGACAAUGAUAGAAGCAUUGCUGGUUAUUAUUAUGGAAAUUCUGACAAGCUUAUCAGUCCUCCAGAUUACAUUGGCCGCUGGUUCUACCAGAAGGUGGUGUUGUCAUCUGAUCCAUCUCCAUCUCACGGCGGUGGUGACUACAUUGCCAUGGCCAUCUAUGGGAAUAAUCAGGUUUCUUUUGCGAGAGCAAGAGAGAACAGCUGGCGACAUGGUACGGCUCUUAGUGAGAUGGGGAAGGAUUCAUACGCUGAUUGUGUCUACCACAAUGGCAGAUUCUACACGGUGACAAUGUGUGGGGUGGUCGAGACAUGGGAUCUUAAUAAAGAGCCAGCACAUGAACCAAACAAACAGGUGAUCAUUGCUGGCGGGGAUGGGAGAUACAGGAGGAUUCUUACCAGGUUCCUGGUGUCUACUCCCUGGGGUUGUCUCCUGCAGAUCCGAACUCAACGGCGCAAUGAUCAUCCUAGGAAGGUCAUGGUUGAUGUGUUUGAGAGGACGUGGGCAUAG